Molecule: transfer RNA, 73 nt
Filed under: Ailuropoda melanoleuca (giant panda)
Lineage: Eukaryota; Metazoa; Chordata; Mammalia; Carnivora; Ursidae
Rfam family: tRNA
About the family: Transfer RNA (tRNA) molecules are approximately 80 nucleotides in length. Their secondary structure includes four short double-helical elements and three loops (D, anti-codon, and T loops). Further hydrogen bonds mediate the characteristic L-shaped molecular structure. tRNAs have two regions of fundamental functional importance: the anti-codon, which is responsible for specific mRNA codon recognition, and the 3' end, to which the tRNAs corresponding amino acid is attached (by aminoacyl-tRNA synthetases). tRNAs cope with the degeneracy of the genetic code in two manners: having more than one tRNA (with a specific anti-codon) for a particular amino acid; and 'wobble' base-pairing, i.e. permitting non-standard base-pairing at the 3rd anti-codon position.
Source: Rfam by way of RNAcentral
UCCCAGUUGGCUUAGUCUGUGGAGCAUGUGACUCUAGAUCUUGGGUUUGUAAGUUCGAACCCUACGUUGGGUA